CAGAGUAACUAAUAGACCCAAUGACGAUACCUUUCUCACUUACACAAGAAAGAGAGCGAAAAUACCAUAACAAAUGCAUAAGACAAAGACACAAAUACCCAAUUUUUUGUCCCUUAGUGUGUAACCUGUUUUUCAAGAUCCGCAACUUGAGUUGCGAAACAAACUUUGACAGUUCGUGCCUUCAUCGUGCUUGGUGUUCGAAUUUUGGAUAUUAUUUAGUAAAAAAUCGAUACGAGUACAUUGAAAAGACGGUGAAAUUAUCUUAAUAUAGACAUCGAAGUAAAUAGAAUGGUGCGUUGUCGUGUUAUUGCAUGUAUAAGCGAUAGUGAGAAGAAAAUUGCCGGUGUGUCUUUUCACGCAUGAUCCAGACCUACGUAAUUAAUGGAUCGAAGUGGUAGAAAAGAUUGGAUUCUCACAAAAUAUUGUAAAAUAUGAACAAGCCAAUGAAAAAGUAAGAAAUGUGUUUCGUCAUCAAUAAUCAAUCUGCUUAUAUUUUUUGUAUCUACUAAAUUGAUUAUAAAGACAAAAGAAAAAUCUCA
Long non-coding RNA from Colias croceus (clouded yellow), 539 nucleotides. RefSeq lists it as uncharacterized. The transcript has 2 exons. The record is from RefSeq and is a predicted model, not a curated record. NCBI's taxonomy places the organism in Eukaryota, Metazoa, Arthropoda, Insecta, Lepidoptera, Pieridae.